Molecule: transfer RNA, 71 nt
Filed under: Loxodonta africana (African savanna elephant)
Lineage: Eukaryota; Metazoa; Chordata; Mammalia; Proboscidea; Elephantidae
Rfam family: tRNA
About the family: Transfer RNA (tRNA) molecules are approximately 80 nucleotides in length. Their secondary structure includes four short double-helical elements and three loops (D, anti-codon, and T loops). Further hydrogen bonds mediate the characteristic L-shaped molecular structure. tRNAs have two regions of fundamental functional importance: the anti-codon, which is responsible for specific mRNA codon recognition, and the 3' end, to which the tRNAs corresponding amino acid is attached (by aminoacyl-tRNA synthetases). tRNAs cope with the degeneracy of the genetic code in two manners: having more than one tRNA (with a specific anti-codon) for a particular amino acid; and 'wobble' base-pairing, i.e. permitting non-standard base-pairing at the 3rd anti-codon position.
Source: Rfam by way of RNAcentral
GCAUUGGUGGUUCAGUGGUAGAAUUCUUGCCUGUCACGCAGGAGACCUGGGUUCCAUUCUUGGCUAAUGCA